AGUGAACGCUGGCGGCAGGCCUAACACAUGCAAGUCGAACGGCAGCACAGUAAGAGCUUGCUCUUACGGGUGGCGAGUGGCGGACGGGUGAGGAAUACAUCGGAAUCUACUUUUUCGUGGGGGAUAACGUAGGGAAACUUACGCUAAUACCGCAUACGACCUACGGGUGAAAGCAGGGGAUCUUCGGACCUUGCGCGAUUGAAUGAGCCGAUGUCGGAUUAGCUAGUUGGCGGGGUAAAGGCCCACCAAGGCGACGAUCCGUAGCUGGUCUGAGAGGAUGAUCGGCCACACUGGAACUGAGACACGGUCCAGACUCCUACGGGAGGCAGCAGUGGGGAAUAUUCGACAAUGGGCGCAAGCCUGAUCCGGCCAUACCGCGUGGGUGAAGAAGGCCUUCGGGUUGUAAAGCCCUUUUGUUGGGAAAGAACAGCAGCAGGUUAAUACCCCGCUGUUCUGACGGUACCCAAAGAAUAAGCACCGGCUAACUUCGUG
This 492-nucleotide ribosomal RNA is filed under the name uncultured bacterium. RNAcentral describes it as "partial 16S ribosomal RNA". It matches the Rfam family "Bacterial small subunit ribosomal RNA", at positions 29 to 507 of the family's 1533-position model. The record is from RNAcentral.